This 228-nucleotide ribosomal RNA is filed under the name uncultured bacterium. Its description in RNAcentral is "partial 16S ribosomal RNA". It matches the Rfam family "Bacterial small subunit ribosomal RNA", at positions 568 to 795 of the family's 1533-position model. The record is from RNAcentral.
UGCGUAGGCGGAUUAAUAAGUCAGUGGUGAAAUCUUUCGGCUCAACCGAGAAACUGCCAUUGAUACUGUUAAUCUUGAGUUCAGUUGAGGUAGGCGGAAUGUGUAAUGUAGCGGUGAAAUGCUUAGAUAUUACACAGAACACCAAUUGCGUAGGCAGCUUACUAGACUGACACUGACGCUGAGGCACGAAAGCGUGGGGAGCGAACAGGAUUAGAUACCCUGGUAGUC